Molecule: ribosomal RNA, 561 nt
Filed under: Eikenella corrodens
Lineage: Bacteria; Pseudomonadati; Pseudomonadota; Betaproteobacteria; Neisseriales; Neisseriaceae
Description: bacterial SSU rRNA
Rfam family: Bacterial small subunit ribosomal RNA
Source: RNAcentral
GCUGGCGGCAUGCUUUACACAUGCAAGUCGAACGGCAGCGGGGUAGUGCUUGCACUACUGUCCGGCGAGUGGCGAACGGGUGAGUAAUAUAUCGGAACGUACCGAGUAAUGGGGGAUAACCAAUCGAAAGAUUGGCUAAUACCGCAUACGUCCUAAGGGAGAAAGCGGGGGAUCGCAAGACCUCGCGUUAUUCGAGCGGCCGAUAACUGAUUAGCUAGUUGGUGGGGUAAAGGCCUACCAAGGCGACGAUCAGUAGCGGGUCUGAGAGGACGAUCCGCCACACUGGGACUGAGACACGGCCCAGACUCCUACGGGAGGCAGCAGUGGGGAAUUUUGGACAAUGGGGGCAACCCUGAUCCAGCCAUGCCGCGUGUAUGAAGAAGGCCUUCGGGUUGUAAAGUACUUUUGUUAGGGAAGAAAAGGGAAGUGCUAAUACCACUUUUUGCUGACGGUACCUAAAGAAUAAGCACCGGCUAACUACGUGCCAGCAGCCGCGGUAAUACGUAGGGUGCGAGCGUUAAUCGGAAUUACUGGGCGUAAAGCGAGCGCAGACGGUUAUUU